ACAACAUUCGAACAGUCGGUCUGCCAAGCAAUAGCACCUGCUCGGUGGAAGAUGUUCCUUUCGUCGU
Molecule: microRNA precursor, 67 nt
Filed under: Bombyx mori (domestic silkworm)
Lineage: Eukaryota; Metazoa; Arthropoda; Insecta; Lepidoptera; Bombycidae
Description: mir-2774 microRNA precursor family
Rfam family: mir-2774 microRNA precursor family
Source: Rfam by way of RNAcentral